This is a small nuclear RNA of Talpa occidentalis (Iberian mole), 110 nucleotides long. Lineage: Eukaryota; Metazoa; Chordata; Mammalia; Eulipotyphla; Talpidae. The record is from RefSeq and is a predicted model, not a curated record.
GUGCUCUCUUUGGCAGCACUUAUACUAAAAUUGGAACAAUACAAAGAAGUUUAUUAGCCUGGCCCCUGCGCAAGGAUGACACACAAAUUCGUGAAGUGUUCCAUAUUUUU